This 580-nucleotide ribosomal RNA is filed under the name uncultured Dechloromonas sp. RNAcentral's name for it is "bacterial SSU rRNA". It matches the Rfam family "Bacterial small subunit ribosomal RNA", at positions 73 to 649 of the family's 1533-position model. The record is from RNAcentral. Lineage: Bacteria; Pseudomonadati; Pseudomonadota; Betaproteobacteria; Rhodocyclales; Azonexaceae.
ACGGGCUUCGGUCUGGUGGCGAGUGGCGAACGGGUGAGUAAAGUAUCGGAACGUACCUUUCAGUGGGGGAUAACGUAGCGAAAGUUACGCUAAUACCGCAUAUUCUGUGAGCAGGAAAGCAGGGGAUCGCAAGACCUUGCGCUGAUUGAGCGGCCGAUAUCAGAUUAGCUAGUUGGUGGGGUAAAGGCCUACCAAGGCGACGAUCUGUAGCGGGUCUGAGAGGAUGAUCCGUCACACUGGAACUGAGACACGGUCCAGACUUCUACGGGAGGCAGCAGUGGGGAAUUUUGGACAAUGGGGGCAACCCUGAUCCAGCCAUGCCGCGUGAGUGAAGAAGGCCUUCGGGUUGUAAAGCUCUUUCGGCCGGGAAGAAAUCGCAUGGGCUAAUACCCUGUGUGGAUGACGGUACCGGAAUAAGAAGCACCGGCUAACUACGUGCCAGCAGCCGCGGUAAUACGUAGGGUGCGAGCGUUAAUCGGAAUUACUGGGCGUAAAGCGUGCGCAGGCGGUUUAGUAAGACAGGCGUGAAAUCCCCGGGCUCAACCUGGGAACUGCGCUUGUGACUGCUAAGCUAGAGUAC